RNAcentral lists this ribosomal RNA (372 nucleotides) under uncultured bacterium. Its description in RNAcentral is "bacterial SSU rRNA". It matches the Rfam family "Bacterial small subunit ribosomal RNA", at positions 527 to 896 of the family's 1533-position model. The record is from RNAcentral.
GUAGGGGCCUAGCGUUGUCCGGAAUUAUUGGGCGUAAAGAGCUCGUAGGCGGUUCGGCAAGUCGGAUGUGAAAUCUCCACGCUUAACGUGGAGGGGCCAUUCGAAACUGCCGUGACUCGAGUCCGGUAGGGGAGUGUGGAAUUCCCGGUGUAGCGGUGAAAUGCGCAGAUAUCGGGAGGAACACCAGUAGCGAAGGCGGCACUCUGGGCCGGUACUGACGCUGAGGAGCGAAAGCGUGGGGAGCGAACAGGAUUAGAUACCCCGGUAGUCCUAGCCGUAAACGAUGGACACUAGGUGUUGGUGGUAUCAACCCCGCCAGUGCCGAAGCUAACGCAUUAAGUGUCCCGCCUGGGGAGUACGGCCGCAAGGCUA